CUAAGAAUCUAUAACGACACGACUAGUGAUAGAUAUACAAGAGUGGCUCUAGCGUAUUCAAAUGUAAUCUUAAGUGUCGUAAAAAAGACUAGAAUCUAAAUAAAUAAGGCGAGUGUAUCUCCAUAAAGAGUAGCUGUGCUCGUCAGGCGUAUCUCCGUGUUGUUAGGUUAACAUGGUUAAGUAACUAUAUUGGUGCACAAAAUAUUUAUUUAACCCUUUAAAAAAUGCAGAUGUAGUCAUUUCAGUUCAAAAUAAAACUGUCAGUGGACGUUAAGCAACCAUCAAUCAAUCAAUCAAAAUAAAACUUAGCAAGUCAAUAUUUUGAUAUUAAAUCCGAUGUCAUUUGUUCAGAAUGCAAAUACUUCUACACGCAAAACAACCCUUGCUAUAUAUUUUGUGAUGUUCCUUUAGUGUCUACCAUACCCAUUUUCAUUCCAAUGAGUGACAAUCGUAAUUUCUUAUCUGUCACGAGAUGGUCUCAGUAUAUCUGAAAAAGUAUGGGAAGAUGAAUUUGAUUUCAUCAGCCGGAGUGUACGGCCUUGGAUCCACUGCUUGUCUCUACAUUCUAGUUCAUAAGAUCUCCCCGAGAUGGUUUUGGAUUUUGAAACGAAAAGAAAGUCGCUGUUAAUACGUCAGUUUUGUAAGGUGAUCAGUUUCGUUCUAUGAUCCAUAAUCUGAAAUCCGCUUGUAUAUAAUGACGCUACAAUCAAUUUAUGAACAGAGCGAAGUAGUCAGUCGAGAACACUGCUGCUCACAUAAUCCAGUGACAUGUACUGCAUAAUCAAGCACACACAGACCGCUAAGCACUGUACCUGUUCAAGUUCAAGUCCUCUUGUACACCUGUAUGUGUCCGAGGUUAUGAAUAAAAUCUUGAAUCUUGAAUUUAGUUCAUGUGUCAAGAGGCGUACUCGAUCGAUCUACUGAUGGAGCAGUGCGCAAAAGGCGUGGGCCAAGACACACGGUUUACAACGAUCAAGGUUUCUGCAGAGGAAGCCCACGAUUCUAGGCAUUCCCAGGGUUGUCGAUGACGUUAUCCGUCCACUGUCUUAACUGAUGGUCUACAACCUUUCAAAGCUUCAAAUCCUUUUUAAUUUCCCUCAUUGCAUUUUUUUGUGUUUUCAUUUCCCUAACAUAGCACUUUAGUGAGCGUAUGCUGUCAACUACGUGUAUAUAUAAUUUCUAAGACAGAGCCAGAGGCCGUGCCAAAAUAUUAAAUGAAAUAGGUCACUUCAAGCUAGGUAUGAAAGGGCAACUGAAUCAUGAUAGUUUCAAUCAAUAAAACGCAGAUGUUUCAAUGAGAAACAUGUGUAUUGACGUGUGUUAAAUCAACUUUUAUCAAUAAAUAUUCACAUGUUUGUCUUAUGUCAUUCACUGAUAGACUAUGACUAUAAUGGCUAACGCAUGAUCAUGCUGAUAUAAAACAAAAAAAUAAUGAAUAUUUCAAUUUUUCAUAAAUAAAAAGUUCGUACAUGUAACACGAACAGAUAAGCGUAGUCUUGUGUUUAAUUUCUAAUGUACAACCAUGAUGAUAUCUUUAAAUUAAAUGAUAAAGCGUCGUGAAAUAGAAAUUCCUUAAUUAUAUAAGUUACAAAUUAAUGGGAUACAUACUCUAAAAUUUAAUUUCCAAUGGAACAAAUAUAUAUAACCGUAUGUGUUCACAACAGAAUAAGUUGUAUAGAAUGUUUGUUCUAAUUGAAACAGAUACGUUGGCAUUGUUAACAACAAGCUUCAUGGGGAACUGCUGUUAGGCAGUGCACUAGUACGAUAACAGUCGUCUGUAGUACCUCUUUAAAUAAAUUAUAUUGAUUAGAAAUUGAUUUGAUAACUUCCCGAAUACUCGUUUAAUAUGAUAACAUUUUUCUAUUUAAUCAAUUGCCUUGGACUCUUUUAUUUCCUUGUGUUGCAUUUUGAUAAUAUAUCAUUUAACUCUUUGUGUGCAUUUAUGGGAAGAAAAUGACACGGUCGGCAAUUUGUCAGUGUAUCUAUAGCAUUCGUUGAAUUAAAAACCUUGAUCCAUGAUUUCACAAUGUUAACACUCCAUGCACAUAUACAAUAUAUAUUACUCGGUGUCCAGGUAGAAAUAGUAUCUAUUCGUAUUUUAGAAAGAUUAACGACUUUAAAACCCACGUUAAUGAUUAAAUUACUAUUUACGGUGAAGCUAUGUCGGUCAACGCGAAUCAACAAAAACAGUUCGAAUAUAAAUCCGGCGCGAUAGAAUCUGAACAAUACAAUAAAUCUCCGGAUU
This 2245-nucleotide long non-coding RNA is filed under the name Mytilus galloprovincialis (Mediterranean mussel). The record is from RNAcentral. Lineage: Eukaryota; Metazoa; Mollusca; Bivalvia; Mytilida; Mytilidae.